RNAcentral lists this ribosomal RNA (460 nucleotides) under uncultured bacterium. RNAcentral's name for it is "partial 16S ribosomal RNA". It matches the Rfam family "Bacterial small subunit ribosomal RNA", at positions 338 to 795 of the family's 1533-position model. The record is from RNAcentral.
CCUACGGGAGGCAGCAGUGAGGAAUAUUGGUCAAUGGGCGCGAGCCUGAACCAGCCAAGUAGCGUGAAGGAUGACUGCCCUACGGGUUGUAACCUUCUUUUAUAAAGGAAUAAAGUGAGGCACGUGUGCCUUUUUGUAUGUACUUUAUGAAUAAGGAUCGGCUAACUCCGUGCCAGCAGCCGCGGUAAUACGGGGUAGCCGAGCGUUAUCCGGAUUUAUUGGGUUUAAAGGGAGCGUAGAUGGGUUGUUAAGUCAGUUGUGAAAGUUUGGGGCUCAACCGUAAAAUUGCAAUUGAUACUGGCAGGCUUGAGGCCAGUUGAGGUAGGCGGAAUGCGUGGUGUAGCGGUGAAAUGCUUAGAUAUCACGAAGAACUCCGAUUGCGAAGGCAGCUUACUAAACUGCCACUGACAUUGAUGCUCGAAAGUGUGGGUAUCAAACAGGAUUAGAUACCCUAGUAGUC